This is a non-coding RNA of Equus caballus (horse), 7581 nucleotides long. The record is from RefSeq and is a predicted model, not a curated record. Lineage: Eukaryota; Metazoa; Chordata; Mammalia; Perissodactyla; Equidae.
GCGGCACGGCCACCGCCGGGCGCCUCGCCCUCCGCGCGCUUGGACUCGGCCCGGGAAAGUUCCCGCAGGACGGGGCGCGGGCUGCGCGCACGUGGGCGCCGCUGCAGGGACGCCCCGCGGGCGUCGGCGCCCAGGUGCCGCACCUGCCUGCCCGGGGCGCGCCCGCCGACGCGCGUCUCCGCCCUUGCCAGCCGCCGGAGCCCGGGCGUCCGGAAACCGCUUCCUUCUGUCCCGCCCCAGGACGCAGGCCGUCUUGCCACCCAAAACUUUUCUUUCUGGAAGGAAGGAAGUUGCAUUCAAGUAUGAAAAUGCAGGAGUUUGGGAUGCAAGUGGUCUUGUGUGAGCUUUAGUUCAGUUGUAGGGCACGGUAUUCUUGAGUGCAGGUCAGAUGGAAGCACUGACGCGAACGUCAUACGUGUGCAUACAGGGAGAGAAUCUUGAGUCCGCCCCUGGCUGUGAAGGAGUCUACCCCUUAACCACAGUGCUUUGCAGAUAAUAGGCUCUCUGUCGUUGUUGAUUUGAUGUGAAUAGGAUUACUCACUGCUUGUUGGGCAUAUAAGGUGCUGUCACCUUAAGAUUACUUCAUCAGUGAGUAUAACAAAUAACUGGAUUCACUUCUUCUGGAUUCUCACUAUUGAUAUGCCUCUGGAAUUUCUGCGUGUUUUGGACAAAUCAAUGUUUCAGGUGGCGUUUGUCCAAAGUUGUCUGAAAAUAAAUACAGCAAUACGAGUUGGAUUUUCAUUCACUUCUUUUCAUUCGGAAAGAGCCUUGCCGCAUGUCCCCACGGUGGAUCCUCGUAACGUUCCCUCCAGAUGAGAAAAAUGACGAUAAGAAUCCUUCCUAAGACCUUAGAGCAAGUGGAUUUGGGGCCAAGUGACACCCAGUGCUGAGGCCAGCGCUCACACUUUCUCCACCAGGCCGUUCUCCCCCAGAGUGAGCCCAGAGAUCUUUCAACCCUGCUUUAUAAGCCAGGCUCACGAAGGCUGAGUCAUACGUGGAAGAAACACAAGGUGGAAGGAGGCUGAGUCCCUGAGUCACCGACCCACUAGAAACAUCCACAUGGGACUGUUAGGGCUGUGAUCUGUGCCAGCAGACCUGUUGACAGCCGUCUGAGACAUAUCAAGACCCCCUGGGUACACCUAGGUCAGAAUCCGUCCUUGCCUGCCACUGACUGUGGGACUUUGGGCGAUUAUUUAACCUUUCUGAGAUAUUAUUUCACCAUGAAAUGGAGAGAAUCAUAAGACUUACUUCAAUGAACUGCUGGUAAAUUUAAUGAGAUAAAACAUACGAAGCCCUCGGGUGAUGUGAACGCCUAGAAAAACAGAAGUAACUGCGAGCACUAUUGCAGGCUGAGUUCUGUGGUUUCAGGGGCAUCAGAUACAUGCUCUUAAUUUUUUUUUAAGUCAGAUCCACAUGGCACACCCACUUGCUCUCUGUGGGAUGUCCCCGUGCGAAGGAAGCCUGCACAGUCUUGUCCGACUGUGCCAGCCUCCCCAGAGGACUGGGCCGGGCUACGGAGGGUAGAGCACACCUACUAGGGAAUCUGUUUGUCUUGAGAACACUCCAGUUUGUAAGGAUGGUUUGAUCUCAUCUCAACACAUCAAUCGGCUGCAUAGGGUGGGGAAAGGGGGGAAGGGAAGCAUCACCUUUGUAAACUCCUGAUUUUAUUUUCUCCAUUCUUUUUGAGAGCUUCUUCAGGCAGAAAAACACCUCUUGCUCUUCUGGAUUCUGAGGUAGGAAUAGCAGAACGGCCCUCAGUGAGCUGCUUUGCACCAGGCUCUGCACACUGAGCCCUGGCCAGCCUGUGGGAUGGGGACUAUUUUAUCGCUCACCAGUUACUUAGAAGGAAACUUCACUCACACAUGCCCACAUACCUUGCCCAGGGUCACACGCUGGCGCGUCAGUGUCUGGUUUCAAUGCCGGUGGGUCUACUUUGGAGCCCAACUCUGAACUCCGCUGCUCUGCUACAGGGCUGUACAGUAGGAAGAUUUUGUGAGUCACAUAUGCAAUUUUAAAUUUUCUUGUAGUCUCAUUUUAAAAAGGAGAAAGAAACUCUGCAUUGAAUUUUAACCAUAUAUUUUAUCUAACCAAUUAUGUCUAAAAUGUUAGCAUUUCAAUAUGCAAUCAAUAUAAAAGCUUGAAUGAGAUAUUUUAUAUACUUUAUUUCAUACUUCGUCUUUGAAGUCGGUGUGUGUUCAACUUUCUGCCUGUCUCAGUUAGGAGCAGUGUCCUCUCCAGUGCUCCAUAGCCACAGGUGGCUGUGGCCUCCACGCUGGUGAGCGGCUCUCUGCCACACGCUCAGCAGAAGUUACUGGACUUUCUGUUUAUGGCUCCCUGUUGACAUAAUCUUUAUUAUUUUUGUUUUGGCCAUCUUCAAACCUGUAGAGAUCUUGAGUACGAAAACUGAAAGUAAGUUUAAAAAAAAGGAAGAAAAGAAAUGGUUGUAAUAUUGUCAUUGGAGAUUUCUAAUCGUGCUUGGAAGGCCCACGUUCGUCAGUGCUUCUGUCGGAUUGCUGACAUGUUUUGAGUUCAGCUGCAUGCCCAUUUAAGAACAUAAGGUUCAUUUACCAUAUUUUCCCCUUGGCCAAGCAGAAAUCUAAAAAUAAACUCUCGAGUUGUUAGGUUUGACCUAACUCUUUGUAUAAAUAUCCCUUUGCAGUUGUUUUAGCAAAAGAAAAAUGCAAUCCCCUAAGUGGUUCUAAAAACUUUAGGAAACUGUUUUCUCCCCUGAACACUUCCUUCCCCUAAACCACAUAUAAACUGAAAAAAAAAAAAAUAAGGAAGUGAAAAUGAGAUUUUAUUUUGCUUUUUUUCCUCCCCCUACAAGAGGACAAAACAGUCAACCCCCAUAUGAGACACUCUUUGCUGUUUCCCUUCCCACCUCCACAUUUUAAAUGAUGAUUAGUGUCUGAAAUUAGCCCUGAAUAUAAAUCUCCACUCUUACACUCCGUGCAGUUCUGGUUUCAGGAGUGACGUCCCAUCAAGUGUGGAAGUGCCUGUGGGAAGUCGCCACCUGACACACCUGAUUGUGUCUCAGGUGAUGUCCCCAUACUCGACACACGGUGGACAAUGGGCAGUAGCGCUUGCUGAAUUAAGUUAAUUUUAAUUAAUUGCGGGAAAGUCAAGAAAACUUUCUAGAGACUCUUAUAAAAGAAAAGUGGCUUAUUAUUCCCAAACAUAUUGAUGGAAACACUUAGGAGCUAUAUUUUGAUUAGGAAGGAACGGCCUGUGAGAAGGCGGUGACCUAAUGAUGUGGCGGAAACUGCUGGAACUUAGAAGGGUGAUUGACCUAUAGAGCUUUUCCUCCUUGAACCCAUCUUUAAAGGAAAUUUUGACAUGAACAAAAUAUAAAACUAAAUGUAAAAAUAAAAGUAAACAUAGAAGAAUAUUUGUAAAAUUUUGGUCCAGGGAGAAAACUUAACGUAGGAAAUUCAGAAAGAAGACCGUAUAUUUAAUCUCUCUCUCUUGAGCACAUUUGUGUGUGUGCAUGUGUAUGUGUGCAUGUAUGCAUAUGUAAAUACAUGUUUUUAGUACAUAUCUUAUGCAGAACAACUAUUUGCAAAAAUACGUGCAAUUAGAAUAUCAUCAGAAGACAAUGUCACUAUUCCUAAUACACAAAUGGCUACCCAAAAAUGCAAGUUAUAAAUAAAAAAAGAAAAUGGACAAAAAAUUUUCUUCCACACUAGUGAAUCAGGGAAAUGCAGAGUAUACAAAAAUUAGAUCAAAUUUUUCACCCAUCACCCACAGUAGUGAAGCAGGCCCUUUGCACAGCCGCUGGGAGUGUGAAUUGCUUGGGAGAAUGUAGUAGACCUCACAGAGGCUCCUGUUCAAUGAUGCUGACUAAUAACGUUAAUGCCAGCUGUCUAUGCUCAGAACAUUUUAGCAAAGUAUCUUUCAGAAAUGUAUGUAGGGUGAAGGAGAAUUACAUUCACUAUUAAAUUCAUAAAUAUCUAUAUAUCUAUUUAUAUAGAUAUGUACAAGUGCCUCAUAUACUUUUUAAAAUUUAAAGUGAUGUUAACCAGGUUGAUAAUUUGCCUUAUUCAAAUGACGUUUAGUGGCUUCAAAUCAGAUUCUUCCUUUCAGGGCUUUGCUGUGUCACCAUUCAAAAGAACGUGAUGCUGGCUUUGAAGGUAAUUCCAAAAGAGGAGUUUCUGAAAAUAUUCAGACAAUGAUAACAUCAAUCGAAUUAGCCCACAGCCUCUAAAGGUGACUGCUGUAAGUGAAACACGUUUAUCUGGAUGCAUAAAUUCUGGCGUGCCUGUAGAAGUCAGGAGUACUGCUUGGUAAGCGGACUCAGGACUGAGCAACAACACGCAGGGAGCAGUCCAGGAGUGUGGGGCUUCUCCUGGGGAGGCCUCUGGCGUCCUGAUGGUGUUUAAAUCACCAGUCCCUGGCCUUGUUCUGAAAUACUGGUGCCUGCGUUUCUUUGCUCAUUUGUUUCUAUGCUUACUCCCAUUUUCAGGCCAGCAGCUAAGUUAUUUUAUCAGUUCAUUUUCACCUGAUCUCAAACAAAAUAUUUUAGACAAAACUUCUCCCUAAUUUUACUUCUCAGUUGUUCUCGUCUUGAGAGUCCUUGAUGACAGUUCCUAAGGCAGAUGUUUUCCAAUAAAAGUUAAAGUGACUGUUUUCCUGGGUUUCCACUCGGGCUGCUGUGUGGCACUGCUCCAUGGAUGCGUCCACCUUCCUCGUUUUGAACGGCCUGCAUCCCACCGCUCAGGCCCAGGAAACACCAACGACGCCUCCGGGCCUGGGGUGCCCCCGCCCAUCUUCCUUACUCUUAUUUCGUCUGCUCUCUGUCGACGUCUUUAAGGUUCUGCUCUACAGGAGAGCUUUGCUUAGCUGUGAGUGCGCAGUUCUAAACACUUAGUCCACGGUGCUUUAAAAGCAACUGUUAUUCCCAGUGAGGUUACUUUAACUUAAUCGUAUUUCAUAUUUUACAGAGGAGUACGCUAUUUAUAAAAUGUUAAGCUAGAAGAAAGUGCUACUUAUUUUCCAAAAGACAUAUCUCCUUGGGCAAAUCUUGAAGCUCCCAUGUAAUGACAGAGUCAGCUGACAGUUCCACAUCCACUGUUGGCUUCUCGAGUUGGAAGGCUUUCUGUCCCAGUGAAGCCUUUUGACUGACUGUUCCCGUGUCAGGGACAGUGUUCAGAAGUAGCCAUGGUCACUCCCACAGGCCCCACUCUUGUAGUUCCGUUUGCCUAGAUGACCACUUCGCCAGUGGGCUGCGGACAGAAAGGACAGGGAGAGCUUCAGGCCAAGGCUGCUGUGGCCCCCUCCCUCUGCCCUGAUGCAAGGCCUGGAAUCUGAUGCUCCAGGUGGUGCAGCUACGAGAGCGAGGGAGCUUCCCCAUGGCAUCGGGCUGGGACAGCGGCCAAAAGGAAGCCUUUACUGGGCUACAUGGCUGAGAUUUGAGGGUCAACUUGUCGUCAUUGUGGUCUAGCCCAAUCUAACUCAGACAACAAUAGUAUGGUAAUUUUUAGGGACUACAGAGCAUAUAUAGACUAUAUGGAAUUUGGAUGUGGUUAAACGUAUUGUGUUUUCUUUCUAAGUCUCCUACCAAUUGUAAGUUCUCUCCCUUGACCAAAAUUGUGCAAAUUUUCUUCUAUAUAGUCUUCUGUUUUUAUUUUUAUAUUUAGUGUUUACAUUUUGUUCAUAUUAAAAUUUCAUUUACAGCAUCUGGAUGUAUCUUGCGCACAACAGCACCUAGGAGUGGAUUAAACGUUUUUGAUAAUUUGGAAGCAUUCUUUUGGUUUUCUAUCACCUUCGGGCUAUGAUUAUACAAACAGAUUUUCACUGAUCUGUGAUUAUACUUGUUAAUAGAGCGCCAGGCCACCGUCCUUCGAAGUGGCUGCACCCACCUGAAAUCUAUUCUUACACCUGCUCUAACACUGUCCUGAGUCCCCAUUCUUGGGAAUUCUGACCCAUUACCUGCUCUUCCAUUUCACCCUCAUCUCUCACAUGGGAUUUUGCCCCCGACAUUGCUUUUCCAGCUAUAACUGUUGGAUCCCUAGAGCGCUGUUCUCAAAAUGUGAUGGAUGGGAGGUUCUGAUUCUACUUCUCCACUGUGGUCUCAGGCCCCCAGACUCCAGCCUGAGGCCCAAGGCCCUUUGCGCCCCCGAGCCUCCUGCUGUGUUUAUUCAGACUCCUCAGUCAUUCACUGUAAAACCCUCGGUGGCUUGGGGAGAAGGGUCAGUACUCUCAGGUGGUAACAGCAACAGAGUGCAAAACCUGCACCAUCCCCUCUUUUCCAAAGUUAAGGUUAAUAAUCAAACAUCAUAGCACACUGCGAAAAUUCUAGGAAUACUUGGAUUCUUAAGCAAUUUCCACAAUAAUUGGACUUUUCAUGGGUCCUGAACUCUCAAGUGAACAGAAUUUGAAAAAUUCCUGUUCUUAAGUUCAUUAUUAACAAACAGGUGACUUUUAACAUACCACACAUAGUUUCACAGACGCCGGCAGACCGUCUGGAAGCCACCAGCUGAUACUCUGAGAUCCUGUAAGAAGUGAGUACCUCAUAGAGGAAACUUUUUUUCUAGAGUGCCAGGUUAGUUAUAUUUUAAUAAUUUGUCUUUUUAAAGAUAACGUGGUAGUUUUUUUCCUUAGUUAAAAUAAACUGAAGUUUCACCAAAAAAGUUCUAAAUGCUCAUCAAUAAAAGAAUAGUUACAUGAGUUUAUUUUUUAUCUGUGUAAUGUAAUCUCAUGCAACUAUUAAAAUAAAAUCUAGAAAGGCAAUGUUGAUACAUGGAAGAUUAGCAUGAAAUGACGCAAAGAGAAAGAGCAUUUUUUCUAUACUUCAAAGUUAAAACCCCAUCCAUAGCUCCCGAGUGAGGACUUUAUCUGUGUAGCUGUUUUGAAUUCAGACUGAUCAAUGAAUAUUCUUCAUUUCUUGGAUGACUAACAAGGGAGCGGGUGCUGUUGGGGAUUCUAUUUCCUUGAGAAGAUGAAUGAUUUCCUAGAGAGGCGAUGGUUGAACAUAAGGGGUUCAUGGUUGAUUUCAGUCACUGAGACUCACAAUAAAGAUGGAGAAGGGAGGAUGGAGGGUGCACAGGGGCUGUGUGUUGCCCUUGGGAAGUUUACUGGGUAGACAUCAUAGAAAGUCAUGGCAUAUACGCUUUAUGUGGGGACACUGAUAAAAGUUUGGGAAGGGGCAGGGGGUAAGAGUGGGUCAAUUUUGAGUGUACAAUUUAGUAAAUACCACUUGAUAUUUUCUUCAAACACAACCUCUUCUAUAGCCUUUUCUCCCCAUUCCCAAGCACUUGUGCCAAGUUUGUAGUGAAGUAUAAGGGUAUAAUAUAAAGAAGGUAAACACAUCCUGUUCUGUGUUCUAAAAAGGAGUUUUAAUAAUGAAGAGGAGGACCAUUUUUCUUAUUUGGAGCAGGAGAGGUUUGUAUAGAUGUGAGGCCAGAAUCACGCUCAUCACAGGGACUCAAGCUAGGGCCAGAGCAGAUGGAACUGGACAGCAGAGGGAAGUGUAAUGGCCAUUUGGAAGCACACGGCUCCUGAAUUAAAGGGAGAAAAUGCAUCUCCGCACUGUGUCUUUAGAGUGUCUCUUCCCUGCUGUGGUCUGGGGAGACAUGAGUCACA